Gasterosteus aculeatus aculeatus (three-spined stickleback) is the source of this 681-nucleotide long non-coding RNA. Lineage: Eukaryota; Metazoa; Chordata; Actinopteri; Perciformes; Gasterosteidae. The record is from Ensembl.
ACACUGAAAAAAGGGGGAAAUGGGGGUUGUUCACUUAACAAAUGAACAGUUCGUAUACAUAACACAAUUGAUUUAUGUUCCUCCUCUAAACAUAUGUAAAUCGUGUAGAAUUCUUCUAAUCUUCAGGGAUGUUUAAUUUUUAUGUUUCAGUCAUGUUAUAAAGAAAGGAAGUUGUUAUGUUUCAUCUGGAAACUCCGCCCAUUAGGAGCAGGUUUUUUAAGGGAAAACUUUGUGCGCCAUUUCUUCAAUCCAGUCGGAGGAAUUAAUCCGUCUGGACCAUAAAAGUCUGGACAGCUCUUCACACGUACUCGUUCGAAGUGCUCCAGAAGGUUGUGAUGGAGCUGGACGGCAAGACACUGUCAAAGAAAGCCCCGGCUCUCAAAAACAGACUCCAUCAGUGAACUGUUGCCAUUUGAUGGCAAAAUGGAUACAACCGUUUCACCAUCUUGUUUUGGAAUAUGGACCAUUGCUGCUUUUUCAGUAGGAUUAUUGGAACCAGUCACCUGCAUGUUCUGUGAUGGGCCGCUACCAAGUGUAGUGUAUUUUUUUUUCUUUUUUUUUCUCAGGGUCAUGUGCCUUUUUCAUUUAAGUGUCAGCAUUUGUCAGAUGUGUUUAAUAGACCUCCAACCGUUUACCCUAUUUUCAAAUUUGGAGGUGAUUUUUGGAUUUUGCACAUUCUUA